This 1228-nucleotide long non-coding RNA is filed under the name Olea europaea (common olive). RNAcentral describes it as "long non-coding RNA (OEUR_LNC009573)". Lineage: Eukaryota; Viridiplantae; Streptophyta; Magnoliopsida; Lamiales; Oleaceae. The record is from RNAcentral.
CUCAGAAUCAUUAAAAAAUAUUCUUGUGUAAUUUGGCUUGCUCUGUCUAUGAUCAUCACAUUAUUGUAGAAUCGCGAUCUUCUUGUAUUCUAAUAUAAUUUGACUUUGUUGUACUUAGAUUCAUAAUUGACACCAAAUCAACUAUCUAGCUUCAGCGACAAUGAGAUCCUCGAAAAAUGGCAUUAUGUCGAUCAGCAUGUAGACCCUUAAGUGUUUGAGGAAGUUGAAGGGUGUUUGAUGUUGGGUUAAUUAAUUUGGCAUAUGGGCCUACAUAUAUAAUUAAGGGAAAAUUACAUCUAACCCUUCUUUUUAAAUUCCAAUUUCAAAAAUCAUGUUUUAAUUAUUCCUUUUCAACAUUCAGGUGGUAAUUAUUUUUUUAAGGAAAAAAAAAAAAAAUACAUCACCCAUUAACACAAUACCCACCCUAAUCUGUCAAAAUCUCUCUCUCUAAAAAGGUUCUCCAUUUUACCAUACCCAUUACCCACAUAACUCCGGCAGAUUCUUUCCAUCUCCACCCUUACUCCCAUAUCUAAUUCCUCCACCAGCAUUACCAUCAUCCAUAUAUAACGACAUCCCUACCUCGACGGCUUCACAAUAAACAAAUCGAAAUCAUAAUAAAUAUUCUUCGAAGUUUCCUCCAUAAAUCCAGUAGUAACAGAAAGUGAAGAAGAAGAAGAAGUAUGAUGUAGCAGAUCUACAUUAGGUGUCGAUAUUGACGCCAUCACCUUCGGCGAAGUCAUUAGAGUCUUAUUUCAAAACUAUGAUAGGCAGAGUUGGUUUGAACACGACGACGGUGAUGGGCAGUAUAGUUGGUGAUGUGAGCAGCAGCAAUACUAAGUCUCACCGUCUCAGAAAGGUUGGAAUUUCUUUAAGACGAUUCAUUGUCACAUAUUGGGCAACCGGUUCAACGUGAAAAGUCCUAUUUGUUCAUAUGAAAUGUAAAUAGGAUAUGGUAAGGCAGAAAUGAUUUUGCCUUAGAAUUUAGAUUGGGAAUUCUCUUAAAAGGUGAGUUUGUAAGUAUUUUCUCAUGGUUAUAGUGGUUUGUGACUAAUAGAAAUGUUGAGGUUUGUAACAAGGGAAUAACUUGGCAAUGGCGAUGGCAAUGAUGGUGGGGGUAGAGUGUGGCGGGAUGAAAGUUGACUAUGACCAAUUAUUGAGUAAUUGUGACUGUCUAUAUAUAAAUUGUAAUCAAUUAAUUUAAAAUUUUGUGAUCGAUUAAUUAUUUGUG